UUUGGAGAAGCAAAAGGCCAAGGAACUAAAAAUAAAGCAAACACUGCUGGCAAAAGCAAAGGCAGAGCCACUUAUGAGCCCAAAUUUGAUAAAAGUAGGUGAAAGGAUUAUCACCAAACAAAAAAUGAAGGAUCCAAUUUCUGAGGUGGAGUGAUGCACUUUUGUAAAAGGUUGGAGUUGCCACUGCACUUGAAGUCAGAGCCACAGCAAUCCAGUAUGUUUUUUCACCCUGCAUUGCUGGAUUUUAGAUGGGGUCACUCUUAUGAGAGCUAUAGCUAAGAUCAUAUUAUUGUUCGAGCAAUGACUGAAAGCACUCGAUGUACAGUGACUACCAAUAAGGAACUUCUACUAUACCUUUCAUUAAUUG
Olea europaea var. sylvestris is the source of this 367-nucleotide long non-coding RNA. RefSeq lists it as uncharacterized. The record is from RefSeq and is a predicted model, not a curated record. Lineage: Eukaryota; Viridiplantae; Streptophyta; Magnoliopsida; Lamiales; Oleaceae. The transcript is spliced from 3 exons.